RNAcentral lists this ribosomal RNA (490 nucleotides) under uncultured bacterium. RNAcentral describes it as "partial 16S ribosomal RNA". It matches the Rfam family "Bacterial small subunit ribosomal RNA", at positions 30 to 507 of the family's 1533-position model. The record is from RNAcentral.
AUUGAACGCUGGCGGCAGGCCUAACACAUGCAAGUCGAACGGUAACAGGAAGAAGCUAGCUUCUUUGCUGACGAGUGGCGGACGGGUGAGUAAUGUCUGGGAAACUGCCUGAUGGAGGGGGAUAACUACUGGAAACGGUAGCUAAUACCGCAUAACGUCGCAAGACCAAAGAGGGGGACCUUCGGGCCUCUUGCCAUCGGAUGUGCCCAGAUGGGAUUAGCUAGUAGGUGGGGUAACGGCUCACCUAGGCGACGAUCCCUAGCUGGUCUGAGAGGAUGACCAGCCACACUGGAACUGAGACACGGUCCAGACUCCUACGGGAGGCAGCAGUGGGGAAUAUUGCACAAUGGGCGCAAGCCUGAUGCAGCCAUGCCGCGUGUAUGAAGAAGGCCUUCGGGUUGUAAAGUACUUUCAGCGGGGAGGAAGGGAGUAAAGUUAAUACCUUUGCUCAUUGACGUUACCCGCAGAAGAAGCACCGGCUAACUCCGUG